Molecule: ribosomal RNA, 1733 nt
Filed under: Thraustochytriidae sp. DT6
Lineage: Eukaryota; Bigyra; Thraustochytrida; Thraustochytriidae
Description: partial 18S ribosomal RNA
Rfam family: Eukaryotic small subunit ribosomal RNA (bases 1-963)
Source: RNAcentral
UUCUCAAUGAUUAAGCCAUGCAUGUCUCAGUAUAAGCUACUUAUACGGUGAAACUGCGAACGGCUCAUUAUAUCAGUUAUAGUUUCUUUGAUAGUGUUUUUUCUACAUGGAUACUUGUGGCAAAUCUAGAAACAAUACAUGCUUCCAAGCCUGACUUUUCGGAGAAGGGCUGCAUUUAUUAGACUUAAACCAAUAUCUUUUCGGAGAUUGUUUUGGUGAUUCAUAAUAACUAAGCGAAUCGCACUUUUAGGCGAUGAAUCAUUCAAGUUUCUGCCCCAUCAGUUGUCGAUGGUAGGGUAUUGGCCUACCAUGACUAUCACGGGUGACGGAGAAUCAGGGUUCGAUUCCGGAGAGGGAGCCUUAGAGACGGCUACCACAUCCAAGGAAGGCAGCAGGCGCGUAAAUUACUCAAUGUCAACUCGACGAAGUAGUGACGAGAAAUAACCAUGGGGAGCCAUUUUGGUUUUCCAAUGGUAAUGAGAGCAAUGUAAAAACCUCAUCGAGGAUCAAUUGGAGGGCAAGUCUGGUGCCAGCAGCCGCGGUAAUUCCAGCUCCUAAAGUGUAUACUAACGUUGUUGCAGUUAAAAAGCUCGUAGUUGAACUAUUGGUUUGGGGUGUUUGUGGCUCUUUGAAUGUAAAUUCAUUGUAUUUGCUCUUACGCCUUGCCAUCUUGGUUUUACUUUUAUUAAAACCUCUCUCACUGUGAAAAAAUUAUGGUGUUCCAAGCACAUAGUAAUUGUUCGGAAUAUUUCACUAUGGGGAUGAUAAAAUAAAACUGUUGUUGCGAUUUUGUUGGGUUUGUACAAUAACACAAUGAUUAACAGGGACAGUUGGGGGGUAUUCGCAUUUUAUAUGUCUCAAGGUGAAAUUCUUUGGAUUUUCUCAAAGACAAACUACUCGCGAAAACAUUUACCACGGGAUGUUUUUUUUUAUUCAAAAAACAAAAAGUUUUGGGGAUCUCAAAAUGAUUAUAAUACCCCUCCUCAUUCCUUAUCCCCCAGAAAAAUACCCCCCAUUUCGAUUUGUCCCCAAAUUUUUUUUUUUUUAAAUUUGUGGGGCCACCCCCCCCGAGGAAGACAACAAAUCUUUUUUUUUUUUCCCCGGGGGGGGAAUUUUUUCCCCCCCAAAAUGUGAAGCUUUUUAUAAAAAUUUUUUUUCAAAAGGGGGCCCCCCCCCCCCCGGGGGGAGGCCCCCCCGCCCCUUUAUUAUUGUUUUCUCCCCCCCCGGGGAAAAAAAUUUCUACACAGGCCCCCCCCCCCACUGAAAAAGAGAAGUGUUGCCCAAAACUGGUAAAGAAACCCGUUCCCCUCGGUACUUUCUCCGGGGGGGGGGGGUUGGGGGCCUGGCGGCGCCCCUCUUUCUGUUUUUUUGUUUGUGGGGGGGGGGGAUUUUUUUUCUCUUGGGUUGGAUAUUUUAAUCCCGUUUUCAUGGUUAAGACCGGGGAAGGGGACCCAAGGGGCGCCCCCCUACACACAAAAACCAAAAAACAAACCCCCAUUUCGCGCUGGGGGAAGGCUUCCAACUUAGGGAGAAAAAAAAAAAAAAUCCAUCUCUUUCAAAAAGACGGGGGGAAAAAACUUAUUUCCCCGGGGGGGUUUGUGUUUCCUCCCCCCCGAAAAAAGGGAAGGAAUUUCUUUCUCGGGGCGGGGGGAAAACCAAACCACGCGGGCACGGUUGGUGAAGAAGAGGACCCCCCAUCUUAAAAAAAAAUUUUCUCCCCGGGCCCGGGCCCC